UUUCUGGUCCCGGCCCCUUUAAAUGAUAAUAAAUAAUAAAAGGGAAGGGGAACGGAGCCACGGGACGCCCCGCCCCCUGCCUAGGGACAGUGGGCAAAGUGCGCGUCGCGGCCCCGAGCGCAGAGGGCUCUGAGGGCGAGGCGGGGCUCUGAGAGCGACUGAGGUGGAGGGACCGGGUUGGGCUCGGCUCCAGCCCCGGGUGUGCUGUAGCUGAGGGACCCCAGACCACCCGAGUCCGCGAGCUUUCCCCAUAUUACCUGGCCAUGGGCAAGGACCUACCCGCCCCGGAGUUGCACCUUCGCCCCUUGGGCUGAGGCGUCGCGACAGUCACUGCACCCUAGAGCGUCGGUUUCCAAGUCUGCGUGCAAACGGGGAUUGGACCCGGGAAGGAGCGGGCUGCGGUGACCCGGACGGGAGUCGAGACCUGCGGGGUCGCGCGGAGGCGGGACGCGAGGUCCUGGAGCUGCGAGCGGCGAUCCCGUGCGCCCCGCCGCAGGCCUCGGAGCCCAGCCCGCGGCUGGCCGGGACCCGCGCCUGGGGGUCGGCGCCCUUCCCCUCGGGCUCCGGCGGGCCCGUGCCCAGGCGUCGCCCUGCGGCCCGGGCCCCACCGAACUGCGCCCGGCCCGGGGAGGGCGAGCGCUGUGCCGGAGAGGGCAGCGGGAAACACUCCCGGGGAGGGUGCGAGCCGCCCCCGCGUCGCAGUUCUCCCCCGGAGGGACCCUGUUAACUCGGCCCGAAGGAGGAGACAGCCUGCGGGGUUGGUUACCCGGAGAGCUGGGUGCCGCAUCCCCAGGCUAGGGGCCCGGAGGGCGAGGGGCUGCAGCAGCCACAGCUGCCCGCUGCUGGGAGGGGGCUCCUAUUUUUAGCCCGGGAGGGAGCUGGGAAUUUACACCCAGACUUGCUGGCUCCCGUGUAUCCCGGGAUGCCCGGUGACGGGGGAGGGGGACCUGGCAGCCAAGGGAGAGUGUGGAUUUAGGUCCAUGCAAGCCAUGAAGUGGGUACCCCAGCCCUACAAGGUUUGGACAGACCAUUUCGUGGAGCCCCUGUGAGUCUGGGGACACCCCCCAAAGCUUUAGUCUGAUGCCCACCCAAUCCUGGUCACUCAUCCUAUUCUCACUCUCUAUUUAGGGGUGGAUCUUACAAAUUCACCCAGGCCUGGUUCUCAAGCUUCUCCAAGUUAAACCAAAAGUGCCCACCUCCCCACAUGUAUUCCUUCUCAAGCAUGUUUGCACCUCUGUGCCUUUGCCCUGGCCCGCGCCUGGCCUGCCCUGCCCUGCCCCAGAGGGCCCCUUGGCCUGUGUCCUCCUUCAUAUUGGUGCCCUCCUCAGGUUCCCUCUCUGGCCUCUCUUCACACCCCCACCAUGCCUCAGGUCUUCAUUGAAGCCUUUUCUGUUUUGAAAUAGCUAUUUAUUUAACCCCUGUAUCUGGCUUCCAGUAGGGCCCUCAAGUCCUAAGGACUACAAUGUCAGACGAAGUUGGUUAAAUGCUACCUCUCUGGCUUGCUUUUCCCCCAGGGCUUUCAGUGUGUGUCUGCACAGGGGACUCCAAAAUAAUCAUUUUUAAAAUCUGAAGGAGACUGUUGGCCCUCACCUCAAAGCCUGACCCUCCAUUGCCAUCCAUACACGUUUGGAUACUGAAUUUGUUGACAUUAGGCAGAAAAGCCAGGGUCCACAAAACGUAUGCUUAUUUAUUCACUUUUAUAAAAAAUAUCUUUGAAUCAUCAAUAGAUGUUUGUUUCAUUCGUUCAUAUGUGGUGCCGAGAAUCGAACCCAGUGCCCAAACUUUACCUGCUAGCCAAGGGCUCUGCCCCUGCACUACAAACUCAGCCCACUAUUCACUUUUAUUUAAUAAGGAGGCCUUAGGGAUGUGGCUCUUUGGUAGAAUACUUGCUGCCCAUGGCUCUGGGUUCAAUGCCCAGCACAGUUAAAAAGUAAAAAAGGAAAUACCCCAGAACAUAAUAAUGUAGGCUACAUUAAUAAUAAAUCCAGCCCGAAAUGUUUUCAACAUCUUUUCACGGACAGGACCCUCAAAACAAGUGCCUAGGACACGGGAAACGCAUGAUGUGACUGUGUUUGUCCCUUUUCACAGCGGGUACAUUUCCUGCUGGGGUCCGGGUUGGGUGCGAAUGAGCGACCCCUGGGCGUCCAGCAAUCGUCUGUGGGAUGAAAAGAGCGAGAUGGAUUCGUGAGACACGCGCGCCACUACCUGGCCGCCAGCGGGGCUGCUGCCUUCUGGGCGUGGCUAAUAUCUACUGGGCGAGGCUUCGUACGAGAGGGUGGAGCCCUGUCGGGGGCCGCUAGGUGGCGCCGUCUUACCUUAGAAAAUGGGAUUCCCAGGUUGGACUUGGGGAAACUGAGGACCACAAACCAUUUUCUCAUCUUCUUUUCUUUUGCUUUAUUUUUGUAGUACUGGCAAUGGAACCCAGGUCCUUGAACAUGCUAGGCCAGUGCUCUAUCGCUAAGGUAGAUCACCAGCUCUUUAUUUUGAGACAGAGUCUUCCUAAUUUGCUGGAAUUUGUGAUCCUCAUCCCUUCUCUUCUUGGUUACUGGGGUCACGAGUAUUAGAUCAUGGAAUCCUGCAUCUUGUGUGCUUGGAGUAUGCUUUCUUCACUCAGCGCCUCUGUUCAUGGAGAUCCAGCCUGUGGUGCCUGUGUCAGCACUGUCCUUGCCCUGUGGCCUGUGUGUGAACCAGGCACUGUUUGCAUACAGGCCACUCACUGGAGGACAUCCGACUGUUUCCAGUUUGGGGCUCUCACAAAUAAAACUAUGAGGAUUGGAGGACCCA
Non-coding RNA from Ictidomys tridecemlineatus (thirteen-lined ground squirrel), 2784 nucleotides. The record is from RefSeq and is a predicted model, not a curated record. Lineage: Eukaryota; Metazoa; Chordata; Mammalia; Rodentia; Sciuridae.